UGAAUAAUGAGGUCAUAUAACGUUUUUUUUUCUUUUCAGAUGUUGAAUUGAUUGAGGAGUCAGAUGUUGACAUAUCUGACUUAGACCGCUAUCUUCACGAUCAGAGAGCUUUCUCCUCUCCGAAAAGAACUCGCCUCGGUUCAGCUUCUAAAGGCUGUAAACUCACAGACAGCCAAAGACAGAUUCUCCGUGGUGCUACCUCAAUAGGAAAACAUCUCACAGUUGACAGAGGAGGCAAAAGUGUGACUGGAGCUCGCAUACCAAUACGCAGAAGGAGGCGGAGAAAUGAGAGGAGGUCCAGACGCAAAUACACCCAAG
Long non-coding RNA from Archocentrus centrarchus (flier cichlid), 318 nucleotides. RefSeq lists it as uncharacterized. The transcript is spliced from 3 exons. The record is from RefSeq and is a predicted model, not a curated record. NCBI's taxonomy places the organism in Eukaryota, Metazoa, Chordata, Actinopteri, Cichliformes, Cichlidae.